UCCCUAGAGGACUAGUGGUUAGGCCACAAUGCUCUUACAGCUGCGGCCUGGGUUCGAUUCCCAGCCACGGAA
RNAcentral lists this transfer RNA (72 nucleotides) under Pangasius djambal. RNAcentral describes it as "tRNA-Lys". It matches the Rfam family "tRNA". Rfam says of the family: Transfer RNA (tRNA) molecules are approximately 80 nucleotides in length. Their secondary structure includes four short double-helical elements and three loops (D, anti-codon, and T loops). Lineage: Eukaryota; Metazoa; Chordata; Actinopteri; Siluriformes; Pangasiidae. The record is from RNAcentral.